RNAcentral lists this ribosomal RNA (2739 nucleotides) under Rickettsiales bacterium. RNAcentral describes it as "23S ribosomal RNA". It matches the Rfam family "Bacterial large subunit ribosomal RNA". Lineage: Bacteria; Pseudomonadati; Pseudomonadota; Alphaproteobacteria; Rickettsiales. The record is from RNAcentral.
AAUAAGAGUAUUUGGUAGAUGCCUUGCUGUUAGGAGGCGAUGAAAGACGUAAUAGACUGCGAUAAGUCUCGGGGAGCUGUCAAUAAGCAUUAUAUCCGAGAAUUUCUGAAUGGGGAAACCCACCUGUAAAGGUAAUUAUUUGUGAAUACAUAGCAAAUAAUGGCGAACUUGGUGAACUGAAAUAUCUAAGUAACCAAAGGAAAAGAAAUCAAUUGAGAUUCCCAAAGUAAGUGACGAGCGAAAUGGGAAAAGGGCAAUGCUGUUUGUGUAAGAAUCAGAACAAUCUGGGAAGGUUGACCAUAGUGGGUGAUAGUCCUGUAUGAGUAGAAAGCACAAAUAGAUUAGAGUAAAACGGAGCACGUGAAACUUUGUUUGAAUAUGGGGGGACCAUCCUCCAACCCUAAAUACUACCUAACAAGCGAUAGUGAACUAGUACCGUGAGGGAAAGGCGAAAAGAACCUUGAUAAAAGGAGUGAAAUAGAACCUGAAACCGAAUACUUACAAGCAGUCAGAGCAGAUUUAUUCUGUGAUGGCGUACCUUUUGCAUAAUGGGUCAGCGAGUUAAUAUAUAAUGCAAGCUUAAGUCGAUAGAUGUAGGCGUAGCGAAAGCAAGUUUGAAUAGAGCGAUUUAGUAUUAUGUAUUACGACACGAAACCCGGUGAUCUAAAUAUGGCCAGGUUGAAGGUAGAGUAACAUCUACUGGAGGACCGAACUUGUUACUGUUGAAAUAGUAUAGGAUGAGCUGUGUUUAGGGGUGAAAGACUAAUCAAACCGGGAGAUAGCUUGUUCUCUGCGAAAUCUAUUUAGGUAGAGCGCUAUGUCAUUUAUUAUUGGGGGUAAAGCACUAAAUAGGCUAGAGGGUCCAAAAGACUUAUCAACCCUAAUUAAACUCUGAAUACCAAUAAAUAUUAUCAUAGUAGGCAGUCCAUGUGCGCUAAGGUGCAUGGUCGAGAGGGAAACAGCCCAGAUCGUCGUCUAAGGUCCCAAAAUUAUUAUUAAGUGGGGAAGGAAGUGGAAAAACCAAAACAGCUAGGAGGUUGACUUAGAAGCAGCCAUCCUUUAAAGAAAGCGUAAUAGCUCACUAGUCUAAUUAAGUUUUUCUGCACCGAAAAUGUAACGGGGCUAAAAUAAUAUACCGAAGACACGGGAUUGUAUUGUAAUGAUACAAUCGGUAGCAGAGCAUUCCAUAAGUCAGUGAAGCAGUUUUGUGAGAAACUGUGGAGAUAUUGGAAGAGAGAAUGCUGACACGAGUAACGAUAAUUAAUGUGAGAAACAUUAACACCGUAAACCCAAGGAUUUCUAUGUAAAGCUAAUCUGCAUAGAGUUAGUCGGCUCCUAAGACGAGGCAGAAAUGCGUAGUCGAUGGAAAUCAGGUUAAUAUUCCUGAACCAGUGGAUGAGUGACGGAUUUUGAUUGUUGUAUUUGAUUAUUGGAUUUCAAAUGCUGCAAGAUAGAUUCUAGAAAAUAGCCUCCACAUAGGCCGUACCAAAACCGACACAGGUGGGUGAGUUGAGUAUACUAAGGUGUUUGAGAGAACUAUCUUGAAGGAACUAGGCAAAUUACAUCCGUAACUUCGGGAAAAGGAUGACUUGAAUUAGGCAACUAAUAAAAAGUGGCACAGAAAUGGGAGUGGCGACUGUUUAUCAAAAACACAGGGCUAUGCAAAAUCAUUAAGAUGAAGUAUAUAGUCUGACGCCUGCCCGGUGCUGGAAGGUUAAUUGAAGGUGUGCAAGCACCCGAUCGAAGCCCCAGUAAACGGCGGCGAUAACUAUGAUCGUCCUAAGGUAGCGAAAUUCCUUGUCGGGCAAGUUCCGACGCGCACGAAUGGCGUAACGAUCUCUCCACUGUCUCCAAGAUAGACUCAGUGAAACUGGAUUCUACGUGUAAUACGUUGUACCUGCGGGUAGACGGAAAGACCCUAUGCACCUUAACUAUAUCUUUACACUGAGUUUAGGAACCACUUACGUAGCUUAAGUGGGAGACUUUGAAGCUGGACUUUUGGGUUCAGUGGAGUCAACAGUGAAAUACCACUUUUGUGGUUCUUGAAUUCUAACUAUAUGCCAUUAUCUGGCAUUAGGACAAUGUAUGGUGGGUAGUUUGACUGGGGCAGUCGCCUCCAAAAGAGUAACGGGGGCGUGCAAUGGUUAGCUCAGACUGGAUGGAAACCAGUUUAUAAGAGUAUAAUAGCAAAAGCUAGCUUGACUGCGAGGCUGACAAGCCGAGCAGAGAAGAAAUUCGGUUAUAGUGACCCGGUGGUUCUGAAUGGAAGGGCCAUCGAUCAACGAAUACAAGGUACGCUAGGGAUAACAGGCUUAUAGUGUCCGAGCGCUCAUAGCGACGACACUGUCUGGCACCUCGAUGUCGACUCAUCAUAUCCUGGGGCUGAAGAAGGUCCCAAGGGUUCGGCUGUUCGCCGAUUAAAAUGGUACGUGAGUUGGGUUCAAAACGUUGUGAGACAGUUUGGUCCCUAUCUUCCGCAGGCGUUGUAAAAUUGAAUGGAGCUGCCCUUAGUACGAGAGGACCGGGGUGGACAUGCCAAUGGUGUAUCAGUUGUUCUGCCAAGAGCAUCGCUGAGUAGCUACGCAUGGAAUAGAUAAUCGCUGAAAGCAUCUAAGUGAGAAGCUAGCCAUAAGAUGAAUUUUACCAAUAGAGUCGUGGUAGACUACCACGUUGAUAGGUCAGGUGUGUAAGGGCAGUGAUGCCUUAAGCUAACUGAUACUAAUAACUCAAUCGGCUUUU